Molecule: ribosomal RNA, 548 nt
Filed under: Weissella confusa
Lineage: Bacteria; Bacillati; Bacillota; Bacilli; Lactobacillales; Lactobacillaceae
Description: bacterial SSU rRNA
Rfam family: Bacterial small subunit ribosomal RNA
Source: RNAcentral
GAUGGACAUUGCAAAGAGUGGCGAACGGGUGAGUAACACGUGGGAAACCUACCUCUUAGCAGGGGAUAACAUUUGGAAACAGAUGCUAAUACCGUAUAACAAUGACAACCGCAUGGUUGUUAUUUAAAAGAUGGUUCUGCUAUCACUAAGAGAUGGUCCCGCGGUGCAUUAGCUAGUUGGUAAGGUAAUGGCUUACCAAGGCGAUGAUGCAUAGCCGAGUUGAGAGACUGAUCGGCCACAAUGGGACUGAGACACGGCCCAUACUCCUACGGGAGGCAGCAGUAGGGAAUCUUCCACAAUGGGCGAAAGCCUGAUGGAGCAACGCCGCGUGUGUGAUGAAGGGUUUCGGCUCGUAAAACACUGUUGUAAGAGAAGAAUGACAUUGAGAGUAACUGUUCAAUGUGUGACGGUAUCUUACCAGAAAGGAACGGCUAAAUACGUGCCAGCAGCCGCGGUAAUACGUAUGUUCCAAGCGUUAUCCGGAUUUAUUGGGCGUAAAGCGAGCGCAGACGGUUAUUUAAGUCUGAAGUGAAAGCCCUCAGCUCAAC